This 253-nucleotide ribosomal RNA is filed under the name uncultured bacterium. RNAcentral describes it as "partial 16S ribosomal RNA". It matches the Rfam family "Bacterial small subunit ribosomal RNA", at positions 524 to 776 of the family's 1533-position model. The record is from RNAcentral.
UACGUAGGGUGCAAGCGUUGUCCGGAAUUAUUGGGCGUAAAGAGCUCGUAGGCGGUCUGUCGCGUCGGAUGUGAAAACCCAGGGCUCAACCCUGGGCCUGCAUUCGAUACGGGCAGACUAGAGUUCGGUAGGGGAGACUGGAAUUCCUGGUGUAGCGGUGAAAUGCACAGAUAUCAGGAGGAACACCGGUGGCGAAGGCGGGUCUCUGGGCCGAAACUGACGCUGAGGAGCGAAAGCGUGGGGAGCAAACAGG